GUACUCCUACGGGAGGCAGCAGUAGGGAAUAUUGGUCAAUGGAUGCAAGUCUGAACCAGCCAUGCCGCGUGCAGGAAGAAGGCCCUAUGGGUUGUAAACUGCUUUUGGCUGAGCGAUAAAAUGGCUUUGCGAAGCUAAUUGAAGGUACCUGUGUGAAUAAGCCACGGCUAACUACGUGCCAGCAGCCGCGGUAAUAC
Molecule: ribosomal RNA, 197 nt
Filed under: uncultured bacterium
Lineage: Bacteria
Description: partial 16S ribosomal RNA
Rfam family: Bacterial small subunit ribosomal RNA
Source: RNAcentral